CUGCUCCUCACUCACUGCGCAGCCGCACAGCCAGUCCGUCGUGACAACAGUGUUUCCAGGGUACGGAUACUAUUGGCACAGCGCUGCCAUAUAAAUCCACCUAGAAUAAAAACAAAAAACUGACUUAAGCGCUUGAGCUUCACAGUCCCUAUACAAUCAGCGUGAGACGCUACAGUCUACACUUCAAACAUGCCGAGUAAUAAACACGACAAACCCGAGAUAAGCGACAACGUCAAGGUUGUUGUGAGAUGUCGUCCACUCAACCAGAAGGAGAAACAGAUGGGCAGCAAACAGGCCGUCAGUGUGGACGAGAUCCGAGGGACCAUCACCGUUAACAAACUAGAAACUCAGCAUGAACCGCCCAAAUGCUUCACCUUCGACACUGUGUUUGGGCCAGACAGCUUGAUGUUUACAAUCUCACAGCCCGACCUAUCAUAGACUCAGUCUUAGAGGGUUACAAUGGAACUAUCUUUGCAUAUGGGCAGACUGGCACUGGUAAAACGUUCACCAUGGAGGGCGUAAGGGCAGUGCCAGAGCUCAGGGGCAUCAUUCCCAACUCUUUCGCUCAUGUCUUCGGUCACAUCGCAAAGGCAGAGGGUG
This is a long non-coding RNA of Gadus morhua (Atlantic cod), 600 nucleotides long. RefSeq lists it as uncharacterized. The record is from RefSeq and is a predicted model, not a curated record. NCBI's taxonomy places the organism in Eukaryota, Metazoa, Chordata, Actinopteri, Gadiformes, Gadidae. The transcript is spliced from 3 exons.